AGCAGCCGCGGUAAUUCCAGCUCCAAUAGCGUAUAUUAAAGUUGUUGCAGUUAAAAAGCUCGUAGUUGAAUUUCGGGAUCGACGGGUCGGUCGCGCCUCUGGUGUGUACUGGCCCUGUCGGUUUCUCCCUUCUGACGAACCACGAUGUCAUUAAUUUGGUGUCGUGGGAAAUCAGGACUGUUACUUUGAAAAAAUUAGAGUGUUUAAAGCAGGCAUUCGCUUGAAUACAUUAGCAUGGAAUAAUGAAAUAGGACGUUUGAUCUUAUUUUGUUGGUUUCUAAGAUCGACGUAAUGAUUAAUAGGGAUAGUUGGGGGCAUUAGUAUUCAAUUGUCAGAGGUGAAAUUCUUGGAUUUAUUGAAGACUAACUACUGCGAAAAGCAUUUGCCAAGGAUGUUUUCAUUAAUCAAGAACGAAAGUUAGGGGAUCGAAGACGAUCAGGUACCGUCGUAGUCUUAACCAUAAACUAUGCCGACUAGGGAUCGGAUGAUGUUAAUUUUUAAUGACUCAUUCGGCGCCUUA
Molecule: ribosomal RNA, 520 nt
Filed under: uncultured Glomus
Lineage: Eukaryota; Fungi; Glomeromycota; Glomeromycetes; Glomerales; Glomeraceae
Description: SSU rRNA
Rfam family: Eukaryotic small subunit ribosomal RNA
Source: RNAcentral